AGUGGGGUUCUUCUUCCUACCGCCGACACACUUUCAAGCCUUUGCAAAGCUUCGACCAGGCUGCAAUCGUUUGAUCGGUCGCGUCUUUCAGCCGAUUUUCUUGCAAUCAAUCUUCACCUUCUUUCCGUCGCACAGGUUUGAACUUCCUCUUCAGAUUUGCUUGCUUUUGAUAUUCAUUAUCUCUGUUUCUCCUUCUUUCUGUCGCACAAAGAGAGUAGGCGAGCUUCGUAGAUGCAUCGAUCGUCCACGAGAGGUGGUCACCGUCAUUGUUAAACCCUAUUUUUGUCCGAGUGCCUUUCCUUUUGCACCCAGGUACACCUCAGAUCUUGCAUUAUCUUCUACUUUCAAUGUUUC
Nelumbo nucifera (sacred lotus) is the source of this 354-nucleotide RNA transcript. RefSeq lists it as uncharacterized. The record is from RefSeq and is a predicted model, not a curated record. NCBI's taxonomy places the organism in Eukaryota, Viridiplantae, Streptophyta, Magnoliopsida, Proteales, Nelumbonaceae.